AGACAAACUCCGAAUGCCAAUUAAUUUAACUUGGGAGUCAGAACAUGGGUGAUAAGGUCCGUGUUCGAAAGGGAAACAGCCCAGACCACCAGCUAAGGUCCCAAAAUAUAUGUUAAGUGGAAAAGGAUGUGGCGUUGCCCAGACAACUAGGAUGUUGGCUUAGAAGCAGCCAUCAUUUAAAGAGUGCGUAAUAGCUCACUAGUCGAGUGACACUGCGCCGAAAAUGUACCGGGGCUAAACAUAUUACCGAAGCUGUGGAUUGUCCUUUGGACAAUGGUAGGAGAGCGUUCUAAGGGCGUUGAAGCAUGAUCGUAAGGACAUGUGGAGCGCUUAGAAGUGAGAAUGCCGGUGUGAGUA
RNAcentral lists this ribosomal RNA (357 nucleotides) under Staphylococcus aureus. RNAcentral's name for it is "partial 23S ribosomal RNA". It matches the Rfam family "Bacterial large subunit ribosomal RNA", at positions 947 to 1308 of the family's 2925-position model. Lineage: Bacteria; Bacillati; Bacillota; Bacilli; Caryophanales; Staphylococcaceae. The record is from RNAcentral.